UCCAGGACCUCCCCCCAUCUCUUUGCUGUGUUAUCUUGAGGCAAUAGCUUAAUGACCCUGAAUAUCCGUUUCUUCUGUUUAAAAAAGGGAGAGAGGGCCUAACAAUACCAUGUGCCGGGCUGGUGAACAACUGGACAGGAUCACAGCUGCCGAUCAGCACCUCCCACCGAAGCUGAGCUCCAGGGUGUGACCCAGUGGAAAUGCCUAGGGACUGACCAGCCUCCCACCUGCCAGACCGCCCUUUGUCAGCAUCAAGGCCAGGUGCAUCAGGUAACCCAGAGAUGGAGGGCAGGAGGGAGUAUUACCAGCAGGACCUCAAACACCAUUACUGAUUAUGGGCAACACAGCACCUCCCCGGCAUCCUCUUCCAGAUGUAAUUACUGGAUGGCCUGAUGUCCCAAUUGACUGUACUCCUGGAUCGGCAUUCAGGAGAAUGAGACCAGUUCUGAAAGAAACCACAUGGGGGUGUCCUGGGACACACACAUGUGCUCACUUGUAAAGACUGAUGCAGCAGACACUCAGCAGCAAUUCCCCCAUCUUUCUGGAAUGCCACUUCU
Molecule: long non-coding RNA, 557 nt
Organism: Manis javanica (Malayan pangolin)
Lineage: Eukaryota; Metazoa; Chordata; Mammalia; Pholidota; Manidae
Source: RefSeq, a predicted model, not a curated record